Long non-coding RNA from Corapipo altera (White-ruffed manakin), 1011 nucleotides. RefSeq lists it as uncharacterized. The transcript has 3 exons. The record is from RefSeq and is a predicted model, not a curated record. Lineage: Eukaryota; Metazoa; Chordata; Aves; Passeriformes; Pipridae.
AUGAUUAUUACACGAAACAAAAGUACAAGAAUAUUAACUAAUUCCAACUGGAAACUGGGAUGAAGAUCAGAGGUUGGAGCUUCCCCUUUCCCUCAGUGGGAGCUGUGUCCCUGGGCCUCUCAGUUAAACUGCUGUACCAACCCCCAGCUGUGUGACUACUGAAAUCUCUUUAUAACUUAAAUACAAGGUCUGAUGUCUGCCUGGCCUUACAUUAUUUAUGAAAUGCCUGUUCAUGUGUGUCACCAUUAUAUCUCACUGCAUAAUCCCAGCAGGAAUUCUGAUGCUAGAACCUCUCUGCAGAUCACCAUUUACGCUGGAAGGAUGUUGUGCCUACUGGGAAGUGUCAUUUCCUUAAGAUACUCAAAACAUGAGAUAAGCUGGCAAAAUCUGGCUUAGGAGAAGUGUAUUUCCAAAAAUUAAGUAAUUUUUUUUAUAUCCCCCAAAAACCAGGGGCAGAGCUUGCCAGUUCCUGUAACUGCCCAGUCUCCUCCUCAGGGAAGAAAUGCCUGUGCUGUCACUGCCCCAACUCCUGACAAACCUAUUUGUUUACUUACCACCAGUCUCUCCAGGCUCGCUGAAUUAUGUUGUAACCCCUCUUCUUAUAUAAAAUAACAAUAAUCUAAAAGCUUCUGUGCCUGCUGCCCAUGUGACACCGACUGUCCCUGUAGCAGUGCUGGCACUGGCCCCAGUGUGCCCAACUCUAAAAUCUUUUCUGAACCAGAUUGUUGCUGCCAUCAGUGGGAGUCUGACAGAAGCAAUGGGACUGGGGCUGCUGGUGGAUUUUGGAGAGUGAGAAGAUUCACCAAGGAGCAGCCUGUGCAAUACAAAACCCCAGAGAGUCACCUGUGUUUGCCCAUGGCUGUCCCUGUGAGAAGAGCUCACUGAGGGGUGGCAAUCCUAAUAUUUACAAGAACAAGUGGGAUUAACACAGAGAAAUACUGGUCAACUACCACUAACUAAUGGUAGUCAGAGAGGUUAAAGAUGCCACUUUCCAGCUCUAUCAAAAGCAAC